Molecule: ribosomal RNA, 564 nt
Filed under: uncultured bacterium
Lineage: Bacteria
Description: bacterial SSU rRNA
Rfam family: Bacterial small subunit ribosomal RNA
Source: RNAcentral
CGAGCAGUAGGGAAUCUUCCGCAAUGGACGAAAGUCUGACGGAGCAACGCCGCGUGAGCGAAGAAGGCCUUCGGGUCGUAAAGCUCUGUUGUAAGGGAAGAACAAGCAUCGGUUAACUGCCGGUGCCCUGACGGUACCUUACCAGAAAGCCACGGCUAACUACGUGCCAGCAGCCGCGGUAAUACGUAGGUGGCAAGCGUUGUCCGGAAUUAUUGGGCGUAAAGCGCGCGCAGGCGGUUUUUUAAGUCUGAUGUGAAAGCCCACGGCUCAACCGUGGAGGGUCAUUGGAAACUGGGAGACUUGAGUGCAGAAGAGGAAAGCGGAAUUCCACGUGUAGCGGUGAAAUGCGUAGAGAUGUGGAGGAACACCAGUGGCGAAGGCGGCUUUCUGGUCUGUAACUGACGCUGAGGCGCGAAAGCGUGGGGAGCAAACAGGAUUAGAUACCCUGGUAGUCCACGCCGUAAACGAUGAGUGCUAAGUGUUAGGGGGUUUCCGCCCCUUAGUGCUGCAGCUAACGCAUUAAGCACUCCGCCUGGGGAGUACGGCCGCAAGGCUGAAACUCAA